Molecule: ribosomal RNA, 934 nt
Filed under: Microbacterium esteraromaticum
Lineage: Bacteria; Bacillati; Actinomycetota; Actinomycetes; Micrococcales; Microbacteriaceae
Description: bacterial SSU rRNA
Rfam family: Bacterial small subunit ribosomal RNA
Source: RNAcentral
GGCGGCGUGCUUAACACAUGCAAGUCGAACGAUGAAGCCCAGCUUGCUGGGUGGAUUAGUGGCGAACGGGUGAGUAACACGUGAGCAACCUGCCCCUGACUCUGGGAUAAGCGCUGGAAACGGCGUCUAAUACUGGAUAUGUCCCGUCACCGCAUGGUGUGCGGGUGGAAAGAUUUUUCGGUUGGGGAUGGGCUCGCGGCCUAUCAGCUUGUUGGUGAGGUAAUGGCUCACCAAGGCGUCGACGGGUAGCCGGCCUGAGAGGGUGACCGGCCACACUGGGACUGAGACACGGCCCAGACUCCUACGGGAGGCAGCAGUGGGGAAUAUUGCACAAUGGGCGGAAGCCUGAUGCAGCAACGCCGCGUGAGGGAUGACGGCCUUCGGGUUGUAAACCUCUUUUAGCAGGGAAGAAGCGAAAGUGACGGUACCUGCAGAAAAAGCACCGGCUAACUACGUGCCAGCAGCCGCGGUAAUACGUAGGGUGCAAGCGUUAUCCGGAAUUAUUGGGCGUAAAGAGCUCGUAGGCGGUCUGUCGCGUCUGCUGUGAAAUUCCGAGGCUCAACCUCGGGCUUGCAGUGGGUACGGGCAGACUAGAGUGCGGUAGGGGAGAUUGGAAUUCCUGGUGUAGCGGUGGAAUGCGCAGAUAUCAGGAGGAACACCGAUGGCGAAGGCAGAUCUCUGGGCCGUAACUGACGCUGAGGAGCGAAAGGGUGGGGAGCAAACAGGCUUAGAUACCCUGGUAGUCCACCCCGUAAACGUUGGGAACUAGUUGUGGGGUCCUUUCCACGGAUUCCGUGACGCAGCUAACGCAUUAAGUUCCCCGCCUGGGGAGUACGGCCGCAAGGCUAAAACUCAAAGGAAUUGACGGGGACCCGCACAAGCGGCGGAGCAUGCGGAUUAAUUCGAUGCAACGCGAAGAACCUUACCAAGGCUU